Molecule: long non-coding RNA, 618 nt
Filed under: Mus pahari (shrew mouse)
Lineage: Eukaryota; Metazoa; Chordata; Mammalia; Rodentia; Muridae
Description: lncRNA (MGP_PahariEiJ_G0004129.1)
Source: RNAcentral
CUGUCUUCAGGAAUAUGUAUUACCUGAAAGCAGAGAGCAGUUGUUGCAUUGGAUCAUUCAGAGAGUAUGCAGCCACAACCAUGCCUUAGAUGUGUGUAAUUCAAGUGGAGAAGACACAAGCCAGUGGUUGCAAUAUCAUCAACACUUGAGUGUUCUGUAAUCGAUUAAUGUUUGCCAUGUGCAAGGAAAAGGCAGAGGCAAAAUGGCGUCGGCUUAUGGAAAAAUAAUUUACAAAAAAAAUGAUGGGAUAGUUCUGCCAAAUUUGAGUGAGUGAAAAAACGAGAAAACUUAUUCUGUUAGAGCCUGAGAAAAGGAAGGAAAGUCAGUCCAACAGUGAGUCUAGCCUCAUUUAUUCCAGGAUUGGUGUCAGCAGAAAACCAACAACGAUGUGGUGGCACACAGUGAACUGACCAGACCCAGGCAGCAGUGGCUCUUUUGGUGGCAAUGGUGCCAAGUCACAGGUACUCUCCUUGCUAAUGGCAGAUACCAACAGGCAGACUAUUGCCUGCGUUUAGCUCUGUUAACCAUUGACAGUGAGACAAUCAUGUCUUCAGUGUUCAUACCUCUUAAAGAUCUUGUCUGUAACACAAGGGCAUUUGAAGAGCAGUGGUUUAAGAC